GACGAACGCUGGCGGCGUGCUUAACACAUGCAAGUCGAACGGAAGGGCCCCCUUGUGGGGUACUCGAGUGGCGAACGGGUGAGUAACACGUGAGUAACCUACCCUUGACUUUGGGAUAACUUCAGGAAACUGGGGCUAAUACCGGAUAGGAGCUCCUGCUGCAUGGUGGGGGUUGGAAAGUUUCGGCGGUUGGGGAUGGACUCGCGGCUUAUCAGCUUGUUGGUGGUGUAGUGGCUCACCAAGGCUUUGACGGGUAGCCGGCCUGAGAGGGUGACCGGCCACAUUGGGACUGAGAUACGGCCCAGACUCCUACGGGAGGCAGCAGUGGGGAAUAUUGCACAAUGGGCGGAAGCCUGAUGCAGCAACGCCGCGUGCGGGAUGACGGCCUUCGGGUUGUAAACCGCUUUCGCCUGUGACGAAGCGUGAGUGACGGUAAUGGGUAAAGAAGCACCGGCUAACUACGUG
Molecule: ribosomal RNA, 465 nt
Filed under: uncultured bacterium
Lineage: Bacteria
Description: partial 16S ribosomal RNA
Rfam family: Bacterial small subunit ribosomal RNA
Source: RNAcentral